GCCUCUGUGGUUCAGUGGUUGAGCGUUGGACUCAUGAUCCAAAGGUCCAGGGUUCGAAUCCCGGUGAGGACA
This 72-nucleotide transfer RNA is filed under the name Pectinophora gossypiella (pink bollworm). RNAcentral describes it as "transfer RNA methionine (anticodon CAU)". It matches the Rfam family "tRNA". From Rfam's summary of the family: Transfer RNA (tRNA) molecules are approximately 80 nucleotides in length. Their secondary structure includes four short double-helical elements and three loops (D, anti-codon, and T loops). Further hydrogen bonds mediate the characteristic L-shaped molecular structure. tRNAs have two regions of fundamental functional importance: the anti-codon, which is responsible for specific mRNA codon recognition, and the 3' end, to which the tRNAs corresponding amino acid is attached (by aminoacyl-tRNA synthetases). tRNAs cope with the degeneracy of the genetic code in two manners: having more than one tRNA (with a specific anti-codon) for a particular amino acid; and 'wobble' base-pairing, i.e. permitting non-standard base-pairing at the 3rd anti-codon position. Lineage: Eukaryota; Metazoa; Arthropoda; Insecta; Lepidoptera; Gelechiidae. The record is from RNAcentral.